This 1411-nucleotide long non-coding RNA is filed under the name Solanum tuberosum (potato). RNAcentral's name for it is "long non-coding RNA (STUB_LNC002325)". Lineage: Eukaryota; Viridiplantae; Streptophyta; Magnoliopsida; Solanales; Solanaceae. The record is from RNAcentral.
UAAGAAAAAUUAAUCAAUAACUUCAAUUUUAUAUUCAGUUGCUUUGAACUUCUUUAAUGAUUAAACUUUAAUUUUUUUGAACUUGGUAACUUCGUAUUAUAUUACAACAAUUUUUUUUGAUUUGCACCGGGUGUCCGAGUCUUUUUGAGCCCCGACUAAUCCCGGGGGUGCACAGGCCCUCGGCAAGGAGGUAUUAUAUUACAACAAUACAACCCAUGUACUGAAACCUUAUAUACAGAUGUACUCCAAACUCCACUGCUCUAUGUCUAUAUUGUUAAUAAUUAAACUUAAUUAUAAGAGCCACUCUUAUAUCCUAACAAUAAAAAAGAAAAAGAAUUGAAGAAUAAAAUCUGACAUCUAGCAGACAAGGAAAUGGGAAACAGUAGUAAAAGAAGAUUUGUUGCAAACUAGAGAGUAAACCAAUUAGAACACAAAAGUGAACUAGGAGAGGAAUCCUAGUAUUAAAUAGAAAAACGCCCUAUAAUCCUCCUUUUUCUCUUUAUUUGUCAAUAAAGACAUGGAAAUAAGCAAUAACUUUGUGCCUCAACAUCUUUGAAAUUGCUUCACUUCACCAAUGAGAAGCGAGUCAGCGACAACCCUUCACUUAGAAUCCAAAUAAUUUUUGUUCCUACGAGAUAUGUGCCUUGGAAGAAAAGGAUAGGCCGAUAGGAGUGUCUGAUAAAAAAUCAAUUGUCAAAAGAGAGUGCUUGAUAAAAGUCUGGCUAUUAGUAUGAACAAGGACACAUUGCCCCAUAGGUUAUAGUGUAACUAAGGGGAGACAUCAUAUAUCAUGUGAGAAGGAACUAAUGAAAAAUAAAAAGGCCAAAGGCAUUACGGUCUCCUAAACUGUGCUACAUUGAGCUAUUUAGUAAACCUUUUCCAUAACAGAACUUUGCCUCAAAAUUUAAAAUUAACCCAUUCAGUCCUUCGAAAUAGAAUUUGACAGAGAAUCAACAGUUGAGAUGUUUUUGAACAUGACUAGAACAAGAACGAAAAAGUCAUAUAUGAAUACAUCCAAAUAAAGGGGAAAUAUUUUAGCUAUAGUUCGGAAGAAAUCAUUUAUGCUCCGACAAUUAAUAAGCUAAUAUCUAACUUCUUUAAUAACCAACUACCUGAGGGAUCAAUGGCCACAUGGUUCAAAACUCCGCGGAUAAUGGAACCACCACGCUGCCUUCUCUAAAGCUAUAUGUGACUUUACUUCCCCUAGGCUAGGAUACAAUCAAAGAUUUCUCCAGCUAUCCUUUUCAAACCCACUACUAGCUACACAUUCUUUUUUUCUGCCCAAACGAUUAUUCACUUUCUUUUCCAUAAGCAAUCAAAAACCUCACUACCCCAGUGCUGAUACUCAUCUACAAAUUCUUCUUCCAUAGAUUCUAUUUGGCUAUAAAAAGGCCGAAAUGCAAAAUCAAAC